This 501-nucleotide ribosomal RNA is filed under the name uncultured bacterium. RNAcentral's name for it is "bacterial SSU rRNA". It matches the Rfam family "Bacterial small subunit ribosomal RNA", at positions 355 to 873 of the family's 1533-position model. The record is from RNAcentral.
UGGGGAAUCUUGCACAAUGGGGGAAACCCUGAUGCAGCGACGCCGCGUGAGCGAUGAAGCCCUUCGGGGCGUAAAGCUCUUUCGGCAGGAACGAUAAUGACGGUACCUGCAGAAGAAGCUGCGGCUAACUACGUGCCAGCAGCCGCGGUAAUACGUAGGCAGCAAGCGUUGUUCGGAGUUACUGGGCGUAAAGAGUAUGUAGGCGGUGUCCUAAGUUCGGGUGUGAAAUCUCCCGGCUCAACUGGGAGGGUGCGCCGAAGACUGGGAUGCUGGAGUCUCGGAGAGGAACGCGGAAUUCCUGGUGUAGCGGUGAAAUGCGUAGAUAUCAGGAGGAACACCAGUGGUGUAGACGGCGUUCUGGACGAGUACUGACGCUGAGAUACGAAAGCGUGGGGAGCAAACAGGAUUAGAUACCCUGGUAGUCCACGCCCUAAACGAUGCACAUUUGGUGUGAGCCAUUCAGUUGGUUCGUGCCGGAGCUAACGCGUUAAAUGUGCCGCC